GAUGAACGCUGGCGGCGUGCCUAAUACAUGCAAGUCGAGCGAACAGAUGAGGAGCUUGCUCCUCUGACGUUAGCGGCGGACGGGUGAGUAACACGUGGAUAACCUACCUAUAAGACUGGGAUAACUUCGGGAAACCGGAGCUAAUACCGGAUAAUAUAUUGAACCGCAUGGUUCAAUAGUGAAAGACGGUUUUGCUGUCACUUAUAGAUGGAUCCGCGCCGCAUUAGCUAGUUGGUAAGGUAACGGCUUACCAAGGCGACGAUGCGUAGCCGACCUGAGAGGGUGAUCGGCCACACUGGAACUGAGACACGGUCCAGACUCCUACGGGAGGCAGCAGUAGGGAAUCUUCCGCAAUGGGCGAAAGCUUGACGGGGCAACGCCGCGUGAGUGAUGAAGGUCUUCGGAUCGUAAAACUCUGUUAUUAGGGAAGAACAAAUGUGUAAGUAACUAUGCACGUCUUGACGGUACCUAAUCAGAAAGCCACGGCUAACUACGUG
RNAcentral lists this ribosomal RNA (497 nucleotides) under uncultured bacterium. RNAcentral describes it as "partial 16S ribosomal RNA". It matches the Rfam family "Bacterial small subunit ribosomal RNA", at positions 28 to 507 of the family's 1533-position model. The record is from RNAcentral.